Long non-coding RNA from Mesoplodon densirostris (Blainville's beaked whale), 555 nucleotides. RefSeq lists it as uncharacterized. The transcript has 3 exons. The record is from RefSeq and is a predicted model, not a curated record. NCBI's taxonomy places the organism in Eukaryota, Metazoa, Chordata, Mammalia, Artiodactyla, Ziphiidae.
ACUCUUUCGGUUGCCAGCUUGGACCUGGCUCUCCAAGGGUCCCUCGGUCUGUUUCUAUAGGGCCGUGCCCUGGCCCACCCUUCAGGGUGGACCCAUGAGGCCUGCAGCCACUCUGGCCAACCCUUCAGCCCUCAAGAACCUCCAUCAGCACCAGGGAGCCUGGGCUCCAAGAACCUCCUCUCUGCUGUGGCAGCUUCCUCUUUGUGUCCUUCCCUCCCAUUUCUGCACCCCGAUUUCCAGAGGGCCUCUGGCCGAGGGUGAGAACCCACUGACCCCCAGGGAGAAGCCCUGCAGAGCAAAGACCUCACCCUGAGGAGCUUCCACCCCCUGGACACCUUGACUCCAUCCUUCAGCAUCCCUUCCCUCACUGUACCCUGACUGCUUAGACCACCUCCUUCUCCAGCCCCCACUGAACAACAGAUUGGGAAGGGGAAUUUUGCAAGGUUCGAGACCCCAGAGCUGUCCUAGGGGAAGGGGAAGGCCGGUCAGCCCAGGGAUUAAGUUGCCUCUAGCCCAGCCCUCUGUCCAGUUACCAGCAUGGGGCUGGGGUGGGGG